Ochotona princeps (American pika) is the source of this 256-nucleotide long non-coding RNA. RefSeq lists it as uncharacterized. The record is from RefSeq and is a predicted model, not a curated record. The transcript is spliced from 3 exons. Lineage: Eukaryota; Metazoa; Chordata; Mammalia; Lagomorpha; Ochotonidae.
GUGGACUUUACCCAGGAAGAAUGGAAGACAAUGGACAAUACUCAGCAGACUCUGUACAGAGAGGUGAUGCUUGAGACCUAUAACAAUCUGCUGUCCUUGGGGUACUCCAUGACAAAGCCUGAUGUGAUCUUCAAGUUGGAGCAAGAAUCAGCACCAUGGACAGUGGGGGAAUCUGUGAAACAGAGACUUCCAGAUCCCCAUGGAAAGAAUGAGCUGCUUGGAGCUAAUCAGAAAGGUCAAGAAAUAAUCUUCAGGC